GGAGCUGCCAUUGGUACAGAUCUUGGUGGUAGUAGCAAAUAAUCGAAUGAGACCUUGGAGGACUGAAGUGGAGAAGGGUUUCGUGUGAACAGUGGUUGAUCACGAGUUAGUCGGUCCUAAGCUUAAGGCGAAAGCCGCAAAUUAAUUUAAAGUAAAAAUGAAAAUAUUUAAUAAAAGAAAAAUUUAUUUUUCCUAAAUAUUAAUAAAAAAUACUUUAAAUAUAAGCGAAAGGGAAUACGGUUCCAAUUCCGUAACCUGUUGAGUAUACGUUUGUAAUAAAUAUGGUCAUUAUGAUCAUCCUGGUAACAGAAACAAUCAUAGAGAAGCCGUCGAGAGAUAUCGGAAGAGUUUUCUUUUCUGUUUUAUAGUUGUACUACCAUGGAAAUCUUUUGAAGAGAGAUAUGGUAGAUGAACUAGAAGAGCAUGGCAUUUACUGCUGUGUCGAUAUUUUCUCCUCGGACCUUGAAAAUCUAUGAUUGGGCCACGUAAAUUCUCAACAGACCGUACCGAUAUCCGCAGCUGGUCUCCAAGGUGAAGAGUCUCUAGUCGAUAGAAUAAUGUAGGUAAGGGAA
RNAcentral lists this ribosomal RNA (572 nucleotides) under Acropsilus sp. 1 SNK-2009. Its description in RNAcentral is "eukaryotic LSU rRNA". It matches the Rfam family "Eukaryotic large subunit ribosomal RNA", at positions 1429 to 1912 of the family's 3401-position model. The record is from RNAcentral. Lineage: Eukaryota; Metazoa; Arthropoda; Insecta; Diptera; Dolichopodidae.